CUCUUUGAAGGUGACAUGGCACCUAAAACCUAUGCAGGUAUGUUUGUUGGAGCUUUAUGCGCUCUCGGUGGUGUCCUAACAAUCGCUUUGCCAGUGCCUGUGAUCGUAUCGAAU
Sarcoptes scabiei is the source of this 114-nucleotide non-coding RNA. The record is from Rfam. Lineage: Eukaryota; Metazoa; Arthropoda; Arachnida; Sarcoptiformes; Sarcoptidae.